RNAcentral lists this ribosomal RNA (1149 nucleotides) under Triticum aestivum (bread wheat). RNAcentral's name for it is "partial small subunit ribosomal RNA". The record is from RNAcentral. Lineage: Eukaryota; Viridiplantae; Streptophyta; Magnoliopsida; Poales; Poaceae.
AUGGCGUUUUCCACCCCCAACGCCCUCUCAGCUUCCGCUUCCGGCCCCGCCUCCCCGUUCCACCUCCGCCUCCAGCCGCAGCCCUUCCUCCGCCUCCCCGCCCUCCCCUUCCACCGCUCCCUCCCGCUCCACCUCCCCUCCCUCCGCCUCACCCGGCCCCUCCUCCCUCCCCUCCCGCUCGCCUCCUCGGGCGGCGGCAGCAACAUCGGCUCCGGCGGCGGUGGUGGCGAUGACGACCUCCCCUCAGGCGGAGGAGGAGACGAGGACGAGGGCGAGGGCGGCGACGACGCGUCCGUCAACAGGAGGGAGGCGCUGUUCGUGCUGGCGCAGCUGGGAAGGAAGCUCGAGAGCCUCCCGGCCGACAUGGCCGCGGCCGUGGAAGGCGGGCGCCUCCCCGGCGAGAUCGUGCGCCGGUUCGCCGAUCUCGAGAAGUCGCCCAUGUUCCGCUGGCUGCUCCAGUUCGGCGGCUUCAGGGAGCGCCUCCUCGCCGACGACCUCUUCCUCGCCAAGGUCGCCAUGGAGUGCGGCGUCGGCAUCUUCACCAAGACCGCGGCAGAAUAUGAGCGAAGGAGGGAGAACUUUGUCAAGGAGCUUGACUUUGUGAUUGCCGAUGUGGUCAUGGCAAUAGUUGCAGACUUCAUGCUUGUUUGGCUUCCUGCUCCAACUGUCUCUCUGCAACCAGCACUAUCAGUGAAUGCUGGGGCUAUUGCUAAAUUCUUCCACAACUGCCCGGAUAAUGCAUUCCAGGUCGCUUUGGCUGGAAGUUCAUACACAUUUUUGCAGAGAUUUGGAGCUAUUAUGAGGAACGGCGCAAAACUUUUUGCAGUAGGAACGAGUGCAUCUUUGAUUGGCACGGGUGUGACCAACGCAAUUAUAAAGGCAAGAAAGACUGUUAACAAGGAUGAUGCUGGCGAAGUUGAGGAUAUCCCAAUUGUUUCAACUAGUAUUGCCUAUGGUGUAUACAUGGCAGUUUCUAGUAACCUCAGGUACCAGGUUCUGGCUGGAGUGAUCGAACAGCGGAUGCUCGAGCCGUUACUACACCGCCACAAACUAGCAUUGAGUGCGCUGUGCUUUGCGGUUCGGACGGGGAACACAUUCUUGGGUUCUCUACUGUGGGUUGACUAUGCCAAGUUUAUAGGCAUACAAUAA